RNAcentral lists this unclassified non-coding RNA (211 nucleotides) under Hevea brasiliensis (rubber tree). Lineage: Eukaryota; Viridiplantae; Streptophyta; Magnoliopsida; Malpighiales; Euphorbiaceae. The record is from RNAcentral.
ACUUAUGAGCUGAAGCUAUCAACGGUACGACAAUCUUUAAAUUUUCCUGAACUAACUUUUUGUUCUAUUAUUACCAUACCAUGUACUUUGUGCAGAUGUGAAACAAUUUUGGGAACUUGGUAUAAUACUCAAUAUAUCAAACCCUGUCAAGAAAGCAAGAUUUUGUAUAUACUUGUAAUGAAACUCAAAUACCUUAGUAUUGACAUUAUUC